GUGCCAGCAGCCGCGGUAAUACGUAGGGUCCGAGCGUUGUCCGGAAUUAUUGGGCGUAAAGGGCUCGUAGGCGGUUUGUCGCGUCGGGAGUGAAAACAGCCAGCUUAACUGGUUGCUUGCUUUCGAUACGGGCAGACUAGAGGUAUGCAGGGGAGAAUGGAAUUCCUGGUGUAGCGGUGAAAUGCGCAGAUAUCAGGAGGAACACCGGUGGCGAAGGCGGUUCUCUGGGCAUUACCUGACGCUGAGGAGCGAAAGUGUGGGAGCGAAACAGGAUUAGAUACCCCUGGUAGUCCACACCGUAAACGUUGGGCGCUAGGUGUGGGAUCCGUUUCCACGGGUUCCGUGCCGUAGCUAACGCAUUAAGCG
Molecule: ribosomal RNA, 366 nt
Filed under: uncultured Nocardioides sp.
Lineage: Bacteria; Bacillati; Actinomycetota; Actinomycetes; Propionibacteriales; Nocardioidaceae
Description: bacterial SSU rRNA
Rfam family: Bacterial small subunit ribosomal RNA
Source: RNAcentral